RNAcentral lists this ribosomal RNA (392 nucleotides) under uncultured bacterium. RNAcentral describes it as "partial 16S ribosomal RNA". It matches the Rfam family "Bacterial small subunit ribosomal RNA", at positions 523 to 918 of the family's 1533-position model. The record is from RNAcentral.
AUACGGAGGAUGCGAGCGUUAUCCGGAUUUAUUGGGUUUAAAGGGAGCGUAGGCGGGAGCUUAAGUCAGCGGUUAAAUGGUGCGGCUCAACCGUGCCCUGCCGUUGAAACUGGGUUUCUUGAGAGUGCAAGAGGCGGAUGUAAUUCAUGGUGUAGCGGUGAAAUGCUUAGAUAUCAUGAAGAAAUCCGAUUGCGAAGGCAGUCCGCUGGGGCACGUCUGACGCUGAUGCUCGAAGGUGCGGGAAUCAAACAGGAUUAGAUACCCUGGUAGUCCGCACGGUAAACGAUGAUUACCCGCUGUCGGCGGUAGACAGUCGGCGGCCAAGCGAAAGCGAUAAGUAAUCCACCUGGGGAGUACGCCGGCAACGGUGAAACUCAAAUGAAUUGGCGGGG